This 3057-nucleotide long non-coding RNA is filed under the name Homo sapiens (human). Its description in RNAcentral is "HSALNT0026251". The record is from RNAcentral. Lineage: Eukaryota; Metazoa; Chordata; Mammalia; Primates; Hominidae.
CUCCACCCCACAACUGCCUCACAAGCAUCCCAGAGUCCAGUCAGCAGACAGCAGAAGAGACUGUCAGCAGACCACCUUGGAGGGGAUGCUUGGAGCUGCCUAACGUGUGAUUCAAAGAUGAAUUCCAUGUGUUUGGAGAAGAAGCCCUAGCCUCAACACAAAGGUUGGCCACAUUCCAGCCAAGGUAGCACGGAGUGAAGGCCCGUGGAGGGAGAGCUGGGCUUUUCUGAACUACUUCAGUACACCUUGCUGUGCCUUGGCCUGCCGUGUUUCAUCCCCAUGGCUGUCCUCAGUGAUGUGCAUGGUCACUGCUCCCUUCACCACUGAGAAGACGGGCACAGGACAGUCAGGGGAUGUGUCCAAGGUCCCACAGCAGGAAGGGCUGGAGCCAGAAUGUGGUCUGAGAGGCUGGAUAUACAAAGAGACAAUGGCAUGACCAUCUGUACAAAUGGAACUAUGGCCCACAACCUGCAGCAGCCAGCCCAGGAAGCCAACCCGUCACCUGCAGCAGCCAGGAUGGAUGCUGGCCUGCCCUCACUGAUACUCAAGUCUAGUUUUAUAUGGCUCCAAACGCCUCCACCAUGAGCUCAAGGCAGUGAGACUGACUGAAAAACCCUCUCUAUUACAGACCACAACAUUGAACCCAACAUCCCCCUAAGUAGGUUGUACUCACAUCAUUGGUCUUAUGGGGAAAUUUUAAGACCUCCCACUUGUAAGGUUUUAUAGCCCUCUAUGGAAUAUUGAAGAAAGAGUAAAAUGCAUCCAAAAAAAAAAAAAAACACUAAACUGGAUAAAUUCUAAGGCCUCUUCAGGUCUUAAGAUGGCCAUUUUCUAGGUCCUCUUGCUGCAGCAGUGAAAUCCACAAACACGGACAAGUCAGUCAGUUACGUGCCUUUCAGAGAAAACUUCUGACUUAGGAAUUCCAGCUAUUUGGCCCAACCCAUAUUAGAUUGUGUUAUAAAGACAUGGUAAAUUACAUCACGAAGGGAAGAGCAGAGGAAACAUAAUAUUCCUUCAAGACCCAUCAGCUCAGAUGUUAGCAGAACACCCCUAAGGAGGAAAACAAGAAAUUUUGGGUUUGAACUUGGUACUUCCCAGCAGCCCUGGGAGUGGGGUCAGAAGCCCUGCUGGGGGCCAAAGAACUCUGAGGAUCAAAGAUGUUGAGCAUCACCUUAGAGGCCAAAGAUCAGAACAGUGGAGGUGGCCUUUGAAGCCCAACCUGUCUUUCACCAGAGAGUGAGAACGGCCUCUAUUUCCAGGAAGCUCACUGCAGCAAUAAUCAUGAUGCUCUGAGCCUGACAAGGUGAGAAUUUACUUUCAGCACCUGCAAUAGUUUCCUAUUAAAGUUACAUAUGAAACCCUGCCGUCUUGUACCAACUAAUGUUCACACCAGCGUUCCUAUUUUCAAGAUAAAUUGCAAAAUAAAAACUCUUGUUUUCGUUAGCAAAAGAAAACUUCUUUAGGAGGAUAAAAGGGAGAUGAAGAAACAGAAAACACAUCAGCUCUCCAUCCAGAUUACAGAAAGCAGAAAACAUCCUGAAGUGAAUAACAUAGGAAUCGCUCUUUUUCCCCCCUGAGAUAGCAGGUUACUUAUGAGAAACAAGCUUGAAAUCUCUGCACCUGGACCAGCUUCCAGAGGCUUUUGUCCUGACCAGCUGGCUUUGGGGAAGUAAAGGAAACCAGAGAAGAAGAGGCUGAAAGAAUUGGUUUCCACCGUGACCUUUGAACCCUCGGGCGAGUUGUCAGCCUCACUGAGGAUGAGUGUACUCCAUAUCAAGUGAGGUCACUUUACUCGCAAGCUUGUUGUGAGGACUGAAUGAAACCUUUUCUUUUUUCUUGGAGUUUCAGAGCAACGUCCCUGAGCCCAGCCCCACACUGGCUUGAGCCCUGUCGUCGGUCAAGACACGGUGCUUUCUCCCCUCCCCUCUGCACUCCAGCUUACUCUGCAGUCAGGAGGUGGCACCACGAUCCCCUUUAAGACUUUGCCACUUGGGCCAGCUGCGCCCCUGUGAAAUUCCCUGUUUCUAUUGCAGGCCACAAGGACGAGCUGAGAAAUGGCUUCCAGUCACCAUCUAGAUUAGAAAGCCUAUAUUUCAAAUAUAGAUAUAUCAAUUAUGCCUGUAAAAAGACAUUAAAUCCCACAGGGCUGUAAUUCCUAGACUCUACGAAUUUCAUCUUGCACCAAAUUUUAUUAUUUCAUUUAUAAUUCGGAUUCUUCAAAUCUAAGAGUGCCUGGCUCAAAAUUAAAAUACCUACAACUAUGCCAAAACUGGACUCUUUAAUUGCCUUACUGGAACCAGUAGCUGAUUCAAAGCAAAACGAAACAAAAUUCCUCCUUUCUCUGAUUUAGUGAAUCAAUGAUCUAACUGAACUCAUUUUUGGACUGAGUUUGCGGCACUUGCAGCCCUGAGGGACACAUUCCCCCACCACACUGAGCCUGCACUCCCAUCAAUGCAAAUGAACAUUUUGCUUAUUCAGAUUGGGGGGGUGAAGGAAGUCACAAAAGGGUUAAUACAUAUGGCAUUUCAUUGUAAUAUGUACUCACUACUAACUAAAUUAAAAGAGAUGUGAGUUAUUAAAAACUCCAUCUUAAGAAAGUAACAGAAAUCAGAGUUCAGAUUCGUUGUUACUGAGUUUCCAACCAACACCUGUGAGUUAAACCUACGGCCACCCUGAAAACGGUUCAUAUUUUCAAAAGCUUCAUCGAAGAUGAGCUGCACUAAAGAUUCAUAUUACAUAUCAUGCUGCAAUAAGAAAAUCAAAUAAGGCCUUUCCAUAUUCAAUAAUAAAGUUUAAAGAAAAGUAAUAUUUGUUUAGCCAGUUAGCCAGAAAUUAGAUGUAUCAGAAUACAUCAUUCUUUGAGCAUUUUAGAAAAAUCAGGGUAUUUCUACAUUGUGUUUUUCUUUGUAAGCCCUCAAAAAAUAUAGAGAAUAUUCUUGAAAUUAUAGUGUUUGUCUUCUGGAACAAAAAAUACUAAUCAAGGAAAUCUACAAAUUUAAUGGUUUAUUGAGUUUCCACAGGAAACACUGUGUGAGGAGGCUGAGGCUUAGAAGUUCA